RNAcentral lists this unclassified non-coding RNA (199 nucleotides) under fungal sp. RNAcentral describes it as "partial internal transcribed spacer region". The stretch from base 1 to 46 matches the Rfam family "Eukaryotic small subunit ribosomal RNA", at positions 1786 to 1831 of the family's 1831-position model. The record is from RNAcentral. Lineage: Eukaryota; Fungi.
AAGUCGUAACAAGGUCUCCGUAGGUGAACCUGCGGAGGGAUCAUUAACGACCGGCCCCCUUUGGGGCCUUCAACCCCAAAAACCGUGGAAGCGACCCGUGCUUCGACGCCUCCCCUGGCGUCGUAUUUAUGCAACCGACCUGUCUGUGUCUGAAUGAAACCUAAGAUUAAAACUUUCAACAAAGGAUCUCUUGGCUCUC